This 440-nucleotide ribosomal RNA is filed under the name uncultured bacterium. Its description in RNAcentral is "partial 16S ribosomal RNA". It matches the Rfam family "Bacterial small subunit ribosomal RNA", at positions 338 to 795 of the family's 1533-position model. The record is from RNAcentral.
CCUACGGGAGGCAGCAGUGGGGAAUAUUGCACAAUGGGGGAAACCCUGAUGCAGCGACGCCGCGUGAGUGAAGAAGUAUCUCGGUACGUAAAGCUCUAUCAGCAGGGAAGAAAAUGACGGUACCUGACUAAGAAGCCCCGGCUAACUACGUGCCAGCAGCCGCGGUAAUACGUAGGGGGCAAGCGUUAUCCGGAUUUACUGGGUGUAAAGGGAGCGUAGACGGCGGAACAAGUCAGAAGUGAAAACCCGGGGCUCAACCCUGGGAGUGCUUUUGAAACUGUUUGGCUGGAGUGCAGGAGAGGUAAGCGGAAUUCCUAGUGUAGCGGUGAAAUGCGUAGAUAUUAGGAGGAACACCAGUGGCGAAGGCGGCUUACUGGACUGUAACUGACGUUGAGGCUCGAAAGCGUGGGGAGCAAACAGGAUUAGAUACCCGUGUAGUC